GUAGCUUGAGGGACAAAUCUAUUGAAAGUAUUUAGCUCGUGAGUUUGGAUCGUAAGUAUGAUAUUAGAGUCUUGACUCAGUAUUAUUACAAAGGUGGAGCAAAGCAAACAUCAACUAGGACACUGAAUCCCUAGUGUGAGGGUUACGUGGCAUCUGUAAUUGAAUGCGGAUCGAUGAAGAUAUGCAGAAGAGAAGGACUAACAAGCUUCAACAUCGAGAUUCUGUAUUAUACAAAGGUGGAGCAACGCAAACAUCAACUAGGACACUGAAUUCCUAAUGUAAGGAUUAUGUGUUGUCUGUAACAGAGAACGGAUUGAUGAAGAUAUACAGAAGAGUAGGACUAACAAGCUUCAACGUCGAGAUUCUGUAUCAUACAAAAGUGGAGCAAAUUAAAGCAAACAUCAACUAGGACACUGAAAUCCUAAUAUGAGGGUUACGUGACGUCCGUAAUGGAGAGCAAAUCGAUGAAGACAAACUGAAGAGAAGGAUUGACUAGCUUUAACAUAGCGACACACGUUACAACUUAGAUCAAUCACACAUCGGAGUGAUGUGGAACAGGAAUGAGAGAAGUAGCAAGGAUAUACUGGUGAGAUGGUUGUACUCUGGAAAUGAAAAGAAAUUAUUAGAAUCGUCACUUUAGAAAAUAUAAGCUUUACAA
This 658-nucleotide long non-coding RNA is filed under the name Capsicum annuum. Its description in RNAcentral is "long non-coding RNA (CANN_LNC013474)". The record is from RNAcentral. Lineage: Eukaryota; Viridiplantae; Streptophyta; Magnoliopsida; Solanales; Solanaceae.